AUACGGAGGGUGCAAGCGUUAUCGGGAAUCAUUGGGUUUAAAGGGUCCGUAGGCGGACUAUUAAGUCAGAGGAGAAAUCCCACAGCUCAACUGUGGAACUGCCUUUGAUACUGGUAGUCUUGAGUUAUAUGGAAGUAGAUAGAAUGUGUAGUGUAGCGGUGAAAUGCAUAGAUAUUACACAGAAUACCGAUUGCGAAGGCAGUCUACUACGUAUAUACUGACGCUAAGGGACGAAAGCGUGGGGAGCGAACAGGAUUAGAAACCCUUGUAGUCC
RNAcentral lists this ribosomal RNA (274 nucleotides) under uncultured bacterium. RNAcentral's name for it is "partial 16S ribosomal RNA". It matches the Rfam family "Bacterial small subunit ribosomal RNA", at positions 523 to 796 of the family's 1533-position model. The record is from RNAcentral.